RNAcentral lists this unclassified non-coding RNA (277 nucleotides) under plant metagenome. RNAcentral describes it as "partial contains small subunit ribosomal RNA and internal transcribed spacer 1". The stretch from base 1 to 53 matches the Rfam family "Eukaryotic small subunit ribosomal RNA", at positions 1778 to 1831 of the family's 1831-position model. The record is from RNAcentral.
GGAAGUAAAAGUGUAACAAGGUUUCCGUAGGUGAACCUGCGGAAGGAUCAUUAUCGAAAUACUUAUUUAGCGUUCCGUGCUAUCCCAUUGUUUUAUUUACCCUGUUGCUUCCACUGGAUGAGUUUCCAUACCUUGUGUUUGAGAAACUUUGGCUUGUGUAAGAUUCAUUCACGGCCAGCCAGUGAGAAGACCAUUUACAAAACCCUGUUAAGAACCAAUUGUCUGAAUAUUUUACUCCAAUGAAAUAAAACUUUCAACAACGGAUCUCUAGGCUCUU